AAUCUGAUUAGCAUCCGUGAGGAUGCAGGUGUGAUCCCUGGCCUCGCUCAGUGGAUUAAGCAUCCUGCCUUCCCAUGAGCUGUGGUGUAGGUUGCAGACACAGCUCGGAUCUGGCAGUUAUGUGGCUGUGGUGCAGGCCAGCACCUACAGCUCUGACUCAACCCCUAGCCUGGGAACCUCCAUAUGCCGCAGGUGCAGACCUAAAAAAACAAAAACAACUUUAAGAUUGUUAUUACCCUGCAGUAAAAUGCUUGAAGUAGCUAGAACCUAGGGCCACAGCUUCUGAUGUAUAAAUAGUGUCCCCUUUAAACCUGUGGGAGUUGCCUACAUAUUAACUCAAAAGGCACAAUUACAGCCCAUCUCAGCGUGUGGUGAAUACUCUUUUGCUAUAAAGAGUUUACUUUGGGUCCUUUUUUGAACAUGUCAUGGACUUGACUCCUUGCUUUCUCCCAGUCUGCAGAUACUUGCAGAAAAGCGACAUCCCAGAUAGAGAAGAGGGUCAAGUGCAGAAGGGUAGCUGCUUUGCAACCGGAAGCUCCCUAAAGAAUGCAAAUGGUUCUUACUGAAUCCUUGCUACGGAUUGUCAGAAAUUCUAAAUUAUUAAAUUGAAAUCAUCAAGUUUUUAUAUGUGAAUUACAUAUGUACUAAUGUAUAUUUUAUUCAUUUAUAAAGUGUUAAUUUGGGACCAGACCAUGAACCAGAGGCACAGAGAAUAAGGUCAUGAAGUACUUGCCCUUGUAGGUGCUCACAUUAUGUCACGACUUGAUAUGAAAACAAGUCAUUUUAGCAACAUAAUAAGAACUACAAGAAGGGUGUGAACCUGGUCAUAGAAUAGCAAGGAGGGUAAAGUGGGCAACCUGGCAUGACGUGAUACCUAACCAACCUGUCUAGGAUGAGACAGAAUCAGGAAGGCAAAUAAGGAUGAGCACAACAGGGUUAAGAACGGGCUUAUUGUUUUCUUUUGGGGAAGAGAGCAAUAUGAACAUGCUAUGAGAGUGACAUGAAGGAAAAAAAGAGAUUGAAACCUACAACGUAACACAUACCAGUAGGAGAGUAUAUGUAGGGGGGAAAAAAAAGCAAUUACCUAAUAGGGCUCAGGAAUUUAGGUUCCAAUAUGUAAUUGCCAAUUUUUUACAGUUUGUUUUUUUAUUGUGGUACAAACAACAUAAGUAAAAUUUACCGUUCAAACAUUUUUAAAUGUACAGUUUGGCAGUAUUAAGUAUAUUCAACACCACCAUCCAUCUCCACCAUCCUUUUCAUCUUUCAAAACUGAAACUAUAUACCUUUUAAUCAAUAACUUCUCAUUCUCCCUUCCCUUGACCCCUGGCCUCCACCAUUCUGUUUCCUGUUUCUAUGAUUUUGACUACUCCAAGUACUUCAUACAAGUGGAAUCAUAUAAUAGGUGUCUUUUGUGUUGGACUUAUUUCACUUAGCAUAUGCCCUCCAGGUUCAUCCAUGUUGUAGCAUGUAUCAUAAUUUCUUUCCUUUUUAAGGCUGAAUAAUAUUUGAUACAACACAUAUACUACAUUUUUCUUGGCCAUUAAGCCACCAACAGACAUGAAUCACCAAGAACUUUUUGAUAUGGUGAAUAAUGCUACAAUGAACUCAAGUGAACAAAUGUCUGUUUGAUAUCCCAUUUUCAAUUCUUUUGGUAUAUACCCAGAAGUAGAAUUUCUGGAUUAUAUGGCAUUUCUAUAUUUAAUUUUUUGAAGAACCAUCAUACUGUUUUCAGCUGCUGUACCAUUUUACAUUGCCAUCAACAGGACACAAAAAUUCCAAUUUCUCCAUUUCCUUGCCAAGACUUGUUAUUUUCUAGGUUUUGUCCUUGUUUUUAUUUUUUUGAUAGUAGCUAUACUAAUGGGUCCAGAGGAUAUCUCUCUCUUUUUUUUUUUUUCAAGUGGCAGAAGCAAAAAUUCUUUUAAUGCUUCUUUUUAAUGUUUCUAUAUUUGUUUUAACUUUUUUUUAUUUCCCCAAUACACUAUUAUUUUUUUCUACUGUACAGCAUGGUGACCCAGUUACACAUACAUGUAUACAUUCUGUUUUCUCACAUUAUCAUGCUCCAUCGUAAGUGACUAGAUAUAGUUCCUAGUGCUACACAGCAAGAGCUCAUUGCUAAUCCAUUCCAAAGGCAAGAGUCUGCAUCUAUGAACCCCAAGCUCCCAAUCCAUCCCUCUCCCUCCCGCUCCCCUUUGGCAACCACAAGUCUAUUCUCCAAGUCCAUGAUUUUCUUUUCUGUGGAAAGGUUCAUUUGUUCUGUAUAUUAGAUUCUAGAUAUAAGUGAUACCAUAUGGAAUAUUUCUUUCUUUGUCUUAUUUCACUCAGGAUGAGAGUCUCUAGUUCCAUCCAUGUUGCUGCAAAUGGCAUUAUUUUGUUCUUCUUUAUGGCUGAGUAGUAUUAUCAUAUAUAUAUCACAUAUGUAUCACAUGUUCCUAAUCCGAUUGUCUGUCAAUGGACAUUGGGUUGUUUCCACGUCUUGGCUAUUGUGAAUAGUGCUGCAAUGAACAUGCGGAUGCACGUGUCUUUUUUAAGGAAAGUUUUGUCUGGAUAUAUGCCCACGAGUGGGAUUGCUGGGUCAUAUGGUAGUUCUAUGUAUAGUUUUCUAAGGUGCCUUCAUUCUGUUCUCCAUACAGUUUUAAUUUACAUUUCCCUAAUUACUAGUGACAUCAAGCAUCUUUUUUUCACUUGCUAAUUAGCCAUUAUUUAUAUUCUUUGGAUCAAUGUCCAAAUUCUUUGCCCAUUUUUAAAUCAAGUUGCUUGUACCUGGAAGUUUGUACCUUUGUUCUAGGAUGUCACGUACAAUGUGAUAACUAUAGUUAACACUACUGUAUGACAUAGAGGAAAGUUGUUGAGAGUAGAUUUUAAGAGUUCUCAACGCAAGGAAAAUAUUUUUUCUUAUUAUUGUCUCUAUAUGAGAUAAUGGAUGUUAACUAAAUCUUUUGUAUUCAUUUCACAAGAUAUGUAGCUCAAACCAUCAUGUUUAUCUCUUAAACAUAUGCAGUAGAUAUAUAUCAAUUAUUUUUCAAUAAAACUGGAAAAAAAUUAAAAAAUCAAUGCUUGUUUUUUUGUUGUUGAGUUUUAGGAGCUCUCUGUGUAUUUGGGAUAUUAAUUACUUAGCAGAUGUAUUACUUGCAAAUAUUACUCCCUUCUGUAGGUUGCCUUUUUUAUCUGUUUUUAUUAGUUUAUAGGUAUUUUCUAACUUCCCUUAUAAUUUCUUCUUUUAUCCAUUAGUUAUUUAAAAGUGUUUUUUUAACACCUACACAUUUGUGAAUUUUUCAGUUUUCCUGAAACAGUUGUGUCUGUUAGAUAUAGCUGGUUUAUUGUGUUGCUCAAGAACUCUAUUUCCUUACUUACCUUCUAGCCAUGAUUAAGAGUUGAGUAUUGAAGUCUCCCACUAUUAAUAUAAAACUGUCUAUUUCUCCCUGUAGUUCUAUAAACUUUUGGUUUAUAUAUUUUGAGGGUCUGUGCAUAAAUGUUUAUUAUUGUUAUAUAUUCUUACAUUUUUGAAUCUUUAUUUGUAUAUCUUUUGCUGUUUGUGUUCAAUAUGCCGUGUAGAUUUUUCGUACCUCGUUUCUUGCAUUACUAUUUACUUUUGUGUUUAGUUUUUUUGUAGUGUAAUGUUUUAAUUUCAUUCUCAUUUUCUCUAUAACUAUUCACUUUGUGGUUACCAUUUUACAUCCUAGUUAUAACACUCCAAUUGAAUUUAUGCUAUCUUAAUGACAAUAAUAGAAAAUUAUAUGACGUUACAGUAAUUUGCAGCUCCAGAAUUUCAUUUGGAUUUCUUUUCAUAUUUUCUGUCUUUUUAUUAAUAUUUGCAUUUUGUUUGUACAUUGCUUUCUUGACUUUUUCCAUGUCAUCCACUAGUCCUUCAGGCAUCUUUAAGCCUUUGCUAUUUUUUAGAUGUGGGGUUUGAGGGUAUUCACACUACUUAAGUCAGUUUUUUUUAUCUGUAAAAUGAGGAUUAUACAUUUAUCCUCACUGGGCUAUUUUUGAACAUGUAGGAGUUCCAGGAGAUAAUUGCUUUGGAUUAUUGAUGAAUAUUUAAAUGUAUGUCUGUGCACGAAUUACCGUAUCUUGAUCUUUUUUAAGAUGAUGUUACUGAUGAGGAUCAGAAUCCAGUAGGAUACAUUGAACCAAAGAGGUGAUUGUCCAUAAUUUUUUCUGACUAACACCACAUUCACAUACACUCUUGCUGUGCCUAAAAAAGUCUAGAUUUUCAGAUCUUUCUACAAGACAUGAUCUCCUGAGAAUUCAUCUUCAAACAAAACUUUCAAGUUGCUACUUGCUGACACAGUCUUCUAAAUGUGUGCUCUGUAUCAAAACGUGGCCAGUGUUAGCCAGAACAAUAAGAGCUAAGUUCUGUUCUCCUUUUGUUCGACCAAACAGUGUCCCAAGCAAGUUAACUAUAGUAGAAAGAUCAGGAGUAUCCAAUCUCUAAAUGACAAAUGCAUUAUUCCCUUGACUUUUAUGUGUAUAAACCAUCUGUCAAAUUGAAUUGUGUGGACACUUGCCAUUGUGCCCGUCAUCAUGAGUUGCUUACUUGUGUAGAAUUAUUAGAAUGUAAUUUUAUGUUUAUGAAAUUUUGGCCUUUCUGGAGAGUCUCAUAUCGAGGACCCAGUUGAGAUGAGGAGGUAACAAGGAAGGCAUUUUAAAUGGUACAGAAGAAGCCACUGAUCAAAAUAAGUGCAAAGUAAGUUACACCAAUAGUUGUUUUUUUAGUGCUUGAAAGAGUAGCAGUGACCUCACUUUAAAAACCCAAAGGCGAAAGAUAUGUAAACAUGAAAUAUAUAUGUUUAUUAUUACACACAUUUUCCUCCUUGUUAUCCUCCAACUGUAAGAGGUUGUAAUGCAUAGGCUUUCCUGGCAUAAGACAGCUGUUGGAUAUGUCUCAGUGUGGAGUGCUAUUUUACAGUCGCUAGCAAGAAUAUUAGAACCAACCUUUUUUUCUCUAAAUGCUUCUUGGGAAAGGUACAUUAAUUAAGACAGUGGCCAAAUUAGUUCUAUAAGACUGCAGUAUUUUGUCUUUAAAAAAUCAGAUAUUAAAAAAAUUAUGUAAUGUAUAUUAUGAAUAUAAAAUAAUAUAAUGUAUAGUCUAGUUAUAUAAUGUAAAUAAUGGCUAAAAAUCUGAAAAAGUAAAUAUAAAAUGAAUUGAUAUGAAGUUGAAUAAAUAAUCAACAUACUUUUUCUACCCUUACUCUUCUGAAAUACUUAAUUUUAUUAAUUAAAAAUGCACUAUUUUACAGAGUUCAUAGGAAACAUUAUUUUCCAUAAUUUGAAGUAUUGUUUUUUUUCUUUAUUUGGCUGUGCCUGUGGCAUGUGGAAGUUCCUGGCCAGUAGUAGCAGCAAAUUGAGCCCUUGCAGUGACAGCACUGGAUCCUUAACCCACUUAACCACAAGGGAACUCCUGAAAUAUGUAUUUUUAAAGUACAAGCUAUUGCAGUAUUUAUAAUUCACUUCAUUUUAAAAACAAUUUGUGGCACCUUACAGAACAAAUAAUACAACAUAAAGAAAAAAUAAGGACAUUAGGAAGAAGGAAAAAUAACGGUAGAAGAAUUAAGUGAAAUAAAGGGCAAGGUUACUGCAUGUAUCUGCCUGCAAACAUCCCAUAGACCAAAACAAAGAAUAAAACAUGGUCAAUUGCAAAAGUCAAUGUCGAUGGAAUUAAAAUAUGACAAUGGAUCCAUAGAAUAACUUUCCUGGGUUUUGAGGCUAUAGAUGUGUCACUGAGUGGAGUAAAGUGUUCACAUUGAAUACCAUUUUUAUGAAAGUACCACAGUACAUUAUAAGAUUUCAGACUUGUCUCAUAAUAAUCCUUAACCUAUCAAAGUAUAAUAGAUUAAAACUAAUUCCAUGAGGAGAUCCAAAUAAGAGUAAUUAGACAGCUGCAUGGUGGUCCAUCUUAGUCAAAAGAAGAAAUAGAAUUAGAAUUCAGAAGAUGAAAGGUGGGGAGUGUGAAUUAAUAGCAAAAUUACUUUUUUGAAUAAAACCUUGCAAGUGUUCUUUGUUUCUUGCAGCCAAAAGAUCCUAACUGGCAAAAUCAUGAAGGCAGACAUUAUAUUUUAGUAGUCAUCAUAUAAGAAUAACUUGAAUAUUUAUUAUAGCUACAUUUAGUGAUGAGGCAUGAUAACACUGCCUUUUUCAAUUAAAACAAAAGUCUCAUUAUCAACAAACUACUCUUUUAAGGUAUCUUAUGGCUAGGUUUUUUUCUUUAAACAAAAUUUAUUCAUUUAUUUAUUUUUCUUAUUUUCAAUGUCUGUCCCUAACCAUUUGUUAUGCUUAUUGAUAAAAGUACUUACUAAAAAAAAAAAAAA
This 6308-nucleotide long non-coding RNA is filed under the name Sus scrofa (pig). RNAcentral's name for it is "lncRNA (ENSSSCG00005033082.1)". Lineage: Eukaryota; Metazoa; Chordata; Mammalia; Artiodactyla; Suidae. The record is from RNAcentral.